This 420-nucleotide long non-coding RNA is filed under the name Elaeis guineensis (African oil palm). RNAcentral's name for it is "long non-coding RNA (EGUI_LNC077835)". Lineage: Eukaryota; Viridiplantae; Streptophyta; Magnoliopsida; Arecales; Arecaceae. The record is from RNAcentral.
UUUCUUUUUUCUUCCUUUCUUGACUGAACAGGAAAAAUACGGGUGGAGGUUGAUACUCCAAUGGGAUGCGGUGACACAGCCGAAGGUCCGACAUUGACGACUGACGGUGAUAGAGCAGGAGAUGACUAGUGAAAAAUCAUGAGAAAAGGCCUAAAAAUAAGGGAUUUAUGCUUUUUUCAAUCCAUGGCUGUUCACCGAUGGCCAUGACUUUAUCGAAAAGUGUCAUAGGGAGACUAUAGGAUCCGAUCAAGAGUUCGACAUCAAGAGGCGAUUGCAUCGGGAACUAGAACAAGAGGAAAAAAGGGACCGAAAAAUAGAAGAAGUGGGUGGGAGGUCUUCUUUGGUCGAUUUUCGAUAAAGUGGGUGGCUGAUGGUGGUGCCUAAGGCUAAGAAAAGAAGGGGAAGAGAGAGAGGGGGAAG